UACGUAGGUGGCAAGCGUUGUCCGGAAUUAUUGGGCGUAAAGCGCGCGCAGGCGGUCCCUUAAGUCUGAUGUGAAAGCCCACGGCUCAACCGUGGAGGGCCAUUGGAAACUGGCAGGCUAGAGUGUAGAAGAGGGGUGUGGAAUUUCCGGUGUAGCGGUGAAAUGCGUAGAGAUCGGAAGGAACACCAGUGGCGAAGGCGACACCCUGGACUGAUACUGACACUGAGGUGCGAAAGCGUGGGGAGCAAACAGG
RNAcentral lists this unclassified non-coding RNA (253 nucleotides) under uncultured Caryophanales bacterium. Its description in RNAcentral is "uncultured Bacillales bacterium contains 16S-23S intergenic spacer region". It matches the Rfam family "Bacterial small subunit ribosomal RNA", at positions 524 to 776 of the family's 1533-position model. Lineage: Bacteria; Bacillati; Bacillota; Bacilli; Caryophanales. The record is from RNAcentral.